UGGGCAAUCUGCCCUGUGGAAAGGGAUAGCCUCGGGAAACCGGGAUUAAUACCUCAUGAUAUUAUUGUUACGCAUGUAACGAUAAUCAAAGAUUCAUCGCCACAGGAUGAGCCCGCGUCCCAUUAGCUAGUUGGUGAGAUAAUAGCCCACCAAGGCGACGAUGGGUAGCCGACCUGAGAGGGUGAACCGGCCACACUGGGACUGAGACACGGCCCAGACUCCGUAGGAG
RNAcentral lists this ribosomal RNA (229 nucleotides) under uncultured bacterium. RNAcentral describes it as "partial 16S ribosomal RNA". It matches the Rfam family "Bacterial small subunit ribosomal RNA", at positions 118 to 347 of the family's 1533-position model. The record is from RNAcentral.